ACCCCAAAACAUUAAACUUGGAACAAGACCCUUAAUACGCCGAACAUUCAAAGUUGAGACACCAUGAAACAACUGGCCAUAAGAAUGGAAGAUGCAAACAUAGAAUAUAGUACUGAACACUUGCUCCUUGUGCCACUACAAAGGUCAGCUUCAAGCUUACAAAUACACUUCAAGAGCCUAUUAAUGGAGAUACGACUAAUAUCAAAGAUAUUUUUAUUUUACAACAAUUUUAUGUUGCCACCACUA
Molecule: long non-coding RNA, 246 nt
Filed under: Elaeis guineensis (African oil palm)
Lineage: Eukaryota; Viridiplantae; Streptophyta; Magnoliopsida; Arecales; Arecaceae
Description: long non-coding RNA (EGUI_LNC038614)
Source: RNAcentral